This 657-nucleotide ribosomal RNA is filed under the name uncultured Lachnospiraceae bacterium. RNAcentral's name for it is "bacterial SSU rRNA". It matches the Rfam family "Bacterial small subunit ribosomal RNA", at positions 62 to 734 of the family's 1533-position model. Lineage: Bacteria; Bacillati; Bacillota; Clostridia; Lachnospirales; Lachnospiraceae. The record is from RNAcentral.
CUUUAUUGAAACUUCGGUCGAUUUAAUUUAAUUCUAGUGGCGGACGGGUGAGUAACGCGUGGGUAACCUGCCUUAUACAGGGGGAUAACAGUCAGAAAUGGCUGCUAAUACCGCAUAAGCGCACAGAGCUGCAUGGCUCGGUGUGAAAAACUCCGGUGGUAUAAGAUGGACCCGCGUUGGAUUAGCUUGUUGGUGGGGUAACGGCCCACCAAGGCGACGAUCCAUAGCCGGCCUGAGAGGGUGAACGGCCACAUUGGGACUGAGACACGGCCCAGACUCCUACGGGAGGCAGCAGUGGGGAAUAUUGCACAAUGGGGGAAACCCUGAUGCAGCGACGCCGCGUGAAGGAAGAAGUAUCUCGGUAUGUAAACUUCUAUCAGCAGGGAAGAUAGUGACGGUACCUGACUAAGAAGCCCCGGCUAACUACGUGCCAGCAGCCGCGGUAAUACGUAGGGGGCAAGCGUUAUCCGGAUUUACUGGGUGUAAAGGGAGCGUAGACGGUGUGGCAAGUCUGAUGUGAAAGGCAUGGGCUCAACCUGUGGACUGCAUUGGAAACUGUCAUACUUGAGUGCCGGAGGGGUAAGCGGAAUUCCUAGUGUAGCGGUGAAAUGCGUAGAUAUUAGGAGGAACACCAGUGGCGAAGGCGGCUUACUGGAC